AUUGAACGCUGGCGGCAUGAUUUACGCAUGCAAGUCGAACGGUAACAGGCCGCAAGGUGCUGACGAGUGGCGAACGGGCGAGUAAUGCAUCGGAACGUGCCCAGUCGUGGGGGAUAACUACUCGAAAGAGUAGCUAAUACCGCAUACGAUCUAUGGAUGAAAGCGGGGGACCGUAAGGCCUCGCGCGAUUGGAGCGGCCGAUGUCAGAUUAGGUAGUUGGUGGGGUAAAGGCUCACCAAGCCAACGAUCUGUAGCUGGUCUGAGAGGACGACCAGCCACACUGGGACUGAGACACGGCCCAGACUCCUACGGGAGGCAGCAGUGGGGAAUUUUGGACAAUGGGCGCAAGCCUGAUCCAGCAAUGCCGCGUGCAGGAAGAAGGCCUUCGGGUUGUAAACUGCUUUUGUACGGAACGAAACGGCUCUGGUUAAUACCCGGGGCUAAUGACGGUACCGUAAGAAUAAGCACCGGCUAACUACGUG
This 482-nucleotide ribosomal RNA is filed under the name uncultured bacterium. Its description in RNAcentral is "partial 16S ribosomal RNA". It matches the Rfam family "Bacterial small subunit ribosomal RNA", at positions 30 to 507 of the family's 1533-position model. The record is from RNAcentral.